GCCUACGGGGGGCAGCAGUGAGGAAUAUUGGUCAAUGGUCGGGAGACUGAACCAGCCAAGCCGCGUGAGGGAUGAAGGUACAGAGUAUCGUAAACCUCUUUUGUCAGGGAACAAAGGCGGGGACGCGUCCCCGGAUGAGUGUACCUGAAGAAAAAGCAUCGGCUUACUCCGUGCCAGCAGCCGCGGUAAUACGGAGGAUGCGAGCGUUAUCCGGAUUUAUUGGGUUUAAAGGGUGCGCAGGCGGUCUGUUAAGUCAGCGGUCAAAGCCCGGGGCUCAACCCCGGGCCGCCGUUGAAACUGGCAGG
This 305-nucleotide ribosomal RNA is filed under the name uncultured bacterium. Its description in RNAcentral is "bacterial SSU rRNA". It matches the Rfam family "Bacterial small subunit ribosomal RNA", at positions 337 to 640 of the family's 1533-position model. The record is from RNAcentral.